Molecule: ribosomal RNA, 403 nt
Filed under: uncultured bacterium
Lineage: Bacteria
Description: partial 16S ribosomal RNA
Rfam family: Bacterial small subunit ribosomal RNA
Source: RNAcentral
GACGAACGCUGGCGGCGUGCCUAAUACAUGCAAGUCGAACGCAGUGGGGACGGGUGAGUAACACGUGGGUAACCUCCCAUCAGAGGGGAUAACCAUUGGCAACAGGUGCUAAACCGAUACUGAUGGAUGGACCAGCGGUGCAUUAGCUAGUUGGUGAGGUAACGGCGCACCAAGGCCACGAUGCAUAGCCGACCUGAGAGGGUGAUCAGCCACACUGGGACUGAGACACGGCCCAGACUCCUACGGGAGGCAGCAGUGGGGAAUCUUGCGCAAGGGACGAAAGUCUGACCGAGCAAUGCCGCGUGAGUGAAGAAGGUUUUCGGAUCGUAAAACUCUGUUGGCAGAGAAGCGGUAUCUAACCAGAAAGCCACGGCUAACUACGUGCCAGCAGCCGCGGUAAUUC